GCUUGUUGUUUAUCUCAUUAAAAAAAAAAGAAAAAAGAAAAAAAAAGAACAGAACAGAACUGAACAAACUACCGUUCUUCUGUAUAUCUAUCGAUGGCUGCAGCAAUCCCAGUCUCAGUUUCUCUCAUUCUCUCCUCAGAUUCACAACCAUCCCAAAGACUGCCCGUAAUUCUUUCACCUUCAAAUAUACAACACCCUUUCCUUUCUCUCCACAAAUCUUUCAAUUUCAGCUCUAGAUUCCGUGUCUCCUCAAAAUGUUCCUCUCCUUCUCCUUCAUCCUCAACAACGACGACGACGACAUCAACAGAAACAGAAACAUCAAGUGCUUCCACCACCUAUUCAUACCUUGAGGAUUCAUAUAAAACAGGGAGGUUCUUGAGCAAUGAAGAGAUUGAAAAGCUUAACGCACUUCAAAAUUUCAGAUAUUAUCAGCAACUAGAAACUGGGUCUAUGUGUGUUAGGCUGAUGAAGCCAGAAGAAAUGGAUAUAACUGUUAAAUUGCUAGCAGAGUCAUUUGUUGAGUCUAUGUUGUUGCCUGUUGGUUAUGUAUCUUUGUUGAGGUACUUGGUGAAGCAGUACUUGAUAGAAAGGAGAGCUGCAAUGCCGCAUGCCGUUACGCUUAUUGGGUUUUAUAAAGGGAAACAAGAGAUGAAUACUGGAGAAGAAAAGGAGGACCUCGAGGAGUUGGCAGGGACUGUGGAGGUUUGUUUUGACAAAAGGGGUGCUAAUACUUCUCCUCCGACGCCUACCUCUCCAAAGAAUGCUCCUUACAUUUGCAACAUGGCUGUUAAACAGUCACUUCGUAGGAGGGGAAUUGGUUGGAAUCUUCUGAAGGCAAGUGAGGAACUUAUUUCUCAGAUGAGUAGUAUGCGAGACGUGUACUUGCACUGCAGAAUGAUUGAUUUGGCCCCCCUCAACAUGUAUACAAAAGCAGGUUACAAUAUUGUUAAAACCGAUAGCAUAAGGGUCCUAUUGAUGUUGCAGAGGCGCAAACAUUUGAUGUGCAAGAAACUUGCAGUCUUAAAAAAUCCUUCCGAACUUGAUAUUUCAGGCUCUGAUACAGAAUUAUCUUCACAAUUGGAUAUGUUGAAGUCAUGACGUAUGCUUCUGAGGUCCUUCAGGGUAUAGUCUGGCCAGCUUGUGGUGAUUAUCCAAUUUGGUUGAUUUUGGCCAGGAAUUCAAUCCGAUGGUCUGGCAUCUCCUUGUAAUUUAUCAUAUUUAUGGGGAUACCUAUAGUGCUACAGAAAAUCUGUUGGGAUGAAUUUGUCGUACCUGUAGGACAAGGUUUUGAUCACUCGGUCCCUGGUUUAAGUCCACUGCUCGACGUCCAGUUAAGAGCUCAAGAAGAACCACUCCAAAUGCAUAAACAUCACUUUGUAAAGUGAGGUUCCCUGUCUGCCAUUAAAAGAAACGGGCUAAUCCUCAGAUCCGAUUUGCAAAUCAAGCUAAGCAGCAAAAAGUACUAUUCAGGACUGAAGAUUGUUCUGCAAUAGUUCUGACUUCAUCUAAGGCGUAGACUCCAACUAAUUAGGGAUCGAGGAUUUGAAGGCCUAGGUGCCUAACUAAGUUGAGUUAAGUUGAUAAUGAAGAAAGAUGAGUUUUUAUUGUACUUGGUUCAAAAUCAAACUAGCUGUUGCUUGAUGUUUGUCAGAGAUUCUCAGAUCCUUGCCCUGAAGGAUAAUUUGUUUUAUCGUGCUGCUUUUUAUUGAAAAUGUUCUGUUCAAGAGUAGAACUUGGGUGGUGAUUAAUGUGAUUCUAGGCAGGCUGAGUUUAGAGAGUUUGUGGUGUAAACGUUCCUGAAAGAGAAUCUGGAAAGAAUCUUCAGCAUUUGUGUA
Molecule: RNA transcript, 1835 nt
Organism: Populus trichocarpa (black cottonwood)
Lineage: Eukaryota; Viridiplantae; Streptophyta; Magnoliopsida; Malpighiales; Salicaceae
Exons: 4
Source: RefSeq, a predicted model, not a curated record